GAUGAACGCUGGCGGCGUGCCUAAUACAUGCAAGUCGAGCGAACGGACGAGAAGCUUGCUCCUCUGAUGUUAGCGGCGGACGGGCGAGUAAGAAGUGGAUAACCUACCUAUAAGACUGGGAUAACUUCGGGAAACCGGAGAUAAUACUGGAUAAUAUUUUGAACCGCAUGGUUCAAAAGUGAAAGACGGUUUUGCUGUCACUUAUAGCUGGAUCCGCGCUGCAUUAGCUAGUUGGUAAGGUAACGGCUUACCAAGGCAACGAUGCGUAGCCGACCUGAGAGGAUGAUCAGCCACACUGGAACUGAGACACGGUCCAGACUCCUACGGGAGGCAGCAGUAGGGAAUCUUCCGCAAUGGGCGAAAGCCUGAUGGAGCAACACCGCGUGAGUGAUGAAGGCCUUCGGAUCGUAAAACUCUGUUAUUAGGGAAGAACAUAUGUAUAAGUAUCUGUGCACGUCUUGACGGUACCUAAUCAGAAAGCCACGGCUAACUUCGUG
This 497-nucleotide ribosomal RNA is filed under the name uncultured bacterium. Its description in RNAcentral is "partial 16S ribosomal RNA". It matches the Rfam family "Bacterial small subunit ribosomal RNA", at positions 28 to 507 of the family's 1533-position model. The record is from RNAcentral.